GUGAAUCAUCAAAUUUUUGAACGCAAAUUGCACUCUCUGGUAUUCCGGAGAGUAUGCCUGUUUGAGGGUCUGUUAAAAUAAAAACCGGUGUGGUUGCCGCUUUUCGUGGUCACGCACCGGAUUUGGGUCGUCUUGCCUUCGAUUAAGCGACCUAAAAUUUUGCAUGAUGUUUUUUGAACGUUUUUAAAUGUUUUUACGUACGUUUUUGAUAUCUAUUACUAUGUGUGAUCCUCC
This 234-nucleotide unclassified non-coding RNA is filed under the name Glomeraceae sp. RNAcentral describes it as "partial contains 5.8S ribosomal RNA and internal transcribed spacer 2". The stretch from base 1 to 71 matches the Rfam family "5.8S ribosomal RNA", at positions 84 to 154 of the family's 154-position model. The record is from RNAcentral. Lineage: Eukaryota; Fungi; Glomeromycota; Glomeromycetes; Glomerales; Glomeraceae.